UCGAGAAUUUUUCUCAAUGGGGGGAACCCUGAAGGAGCGACGCCGCGUGGGGGAUGAAGGGCUUCGGCUCGUAAACCCCUGUCAUUUGUGAGCAAGUGUUAUAGUUUAAGAGAUGAUGACAUUGAUAGUAGCAAAAGAGGAAGGGACGGCUAACUCUGUGCCAGCAGCCGCGGUAAUACAGAGGUCCCAAGCGUUGUUCGGAAUCACUGGGCGUAAAGGGUGCGUAGGCGGUAUGGUAAGACUUGGGUGAAAUCUCCAUGCUUAACGUGGAGGGAGCCUGGGAGACUGCCGUGCUAGAGGAUUGGAGGGGAGACUGGAAUUCUUGGAGUAGCAGUGAAAUGCGUAGAUAUCAAGAGGAACACCAGUGGCGAAGGCGAGUCUCUGGACAAUUCCUGACGCUGAGGCACGAAGGCCAGGGGAUCAAACGGG
Molecule: ribosomal RNA, 429 nt
Filed under: uncultured bacterium
Lineage: Bacteria
Description: bacterial SSU rRNA
Rfam family: Bacterial small subunit ribosomal RNA
Source: RNAcentral